This 216-nucleotide ribosomal RNA is filed under the name Glomeromycotina sp. RNAcentral's name for it is "partial small subunit ribosomal RNA". The stretch from base 87 to 216 matches the Rfam family "Eukaryotic small subunit ribosomal RNA", at positions 733 to 864 of the family's 1831-position model. Lineage: Eukaryota; Fungi; Glomeromycota. The record is from RNAcentral.
GGGUCAGUAGGUUGGUCGUGCCACCGGUACGUACUGGUCUCACUGAUUCCUCCUUCCUGAAGAACCGUAACGCCAUUAAUUUGGUGUUGCGGGGAAACAGGACUGUUACUUUGAAAAAAUUAGAGUGUUUAAAGCAAGCUAACGCUUGAAUACAUUAGCAUAGAAUAAUGAAAUAGGACGAUCGAUCCUAUUUUGUUGGUUUCUAGGAUUGACGUA